CAAAAGCGUAUAUUAAAGUUGUUGCAGUUAAAAAGCUCGUAGUUGAACCUUGGGCUUGGCUGGCCGGUCCAUCUUUUUUGAUGCGUACUGGACCCAGCCGAGCCUUUCCUUCUGGCUAGCCUUUUGGCGGACCAGGACUUUUACUUUGAAAAAAUUAGAGUGUUCAAAGCAGGCCUUUGCUCGAAUAUAUUAGCAUGGAAUAAUAGAAUAGGACGUUAUGGUUCUAUUUUGUUGGUUUCUAGGACCAUCGUAAUGAUUAAUAGGGACGGUCGGGGGUAUCAGUAUUCAGUUGUCAGAGGUGAAAUUCUUGGAUUUACUGAAGACUAACUACUGCGAAAGCAUUUACCAAGGACGUUUUCAUUAA
RNAcentral lists this ribosomal RNA (364 nucleotides) under uncultured eukaryote. Its description in RNAcentral is "partial 18S ribosomal RNA". It matches the Rfam family "Eukaryotic small subunit ribosomal RNA", at positions 592 to 976 of the family's 1831-position model. The record is from RNAcentral.